AAAAAAAAACGAAGACCCCGUGCCCAUCGAUAGACUUUUUCAGCUUAUAUUGUUCUGUUUUUGUGGGCAGUUCGUGGACAGAAUCUUUACAGUAAGCUGCAUUACAUGGUGUGGUCUAUCAUUCAUACCUGGGUCUCAACUCUCCCAAGAAUGUUGAAGGUCGUCACAAGGGCGUCAGCCAGAAAGACCUAGGACCACUGAUUGACAGGGCAUGUGCCAAGUGCGGUCACGAUGGACUU
This is a long non-coding RNA of Asterias rubens (European starfish), 239 nucleotides long. RefSeq lists it as uncharacterized. The record is from RefSeq and is a predicted model, not a curated record. Lineage: Eukaryota; Metazoa; Echinodermata; Asteroidea; Forcipulatida; Asteriidae. The transcript is spliced from 3 exons.